AGUGAACGCUGGCGGUAGGCCUAACACAUGCAAGUCGAACGGCAGCACAGUAAGAGCUUGCUCUUACGGGUUGCGAGUGGCGGACGGGUGAGGAAUACAUCAGAAUCUACUUUUUCGUGGGGGAUAACGUAGGUAAACUUACGCUAAUACCACAUACGACCUACGGGUGAAAGCAGGGGAUCUUCGGACCUUGCGCGGUUGAAUGAGCCGAUGGCGGAUUAGCUAGUUGGCGGGUUAAAGGCCCACCAAGGCGACGAUCCGUAGCUGGUCUGAGAGGAUGAUCAGCCACACUGGAACUGAGACACGGUCCAGAAUCCUACGGGAGGCAGCAGUGGGGAAUAUUGGACAAUGGGCGCAAGCCUGAUCCAGCCAUACCGCGUGGGUGAAGAAGGCCUUCGGGUUGUAAAGCCCUUUUGUUGGGAAAGAAAAGCAGCAGGUUAAUACCCCGCUGUUCUGACGGUACCCAAAGAAUAAGCACCGGCUAACUUCG
This 490-nucleotide ribosomal RNA is filed under the name uncultured bacterium. Its description in RNAcentral is "partial 16S ribosomal RNA". It matches the Rfam family "Bacterial small subunit ribosomal RNA", at positions 29 to 505 of the family's 1533-position model. The record is from RNAcentral.